RNAcentral lists this ribosomal RNA (530 nucleotides) under uncultured bacterium. RNAcentral describes it as "bacterial SSU rRNA". It matches the Rfam family "Bacterial small subunit ribosomal RNA", at positions 976 to 1509 of the family's 1533-position model. The record is from RNAcentral.
UACCCUUGACAUGGUCGGAAUCCUGAAGAGAUUUAGGAGUGCUCGAAGGAGAACCGACACACAGGUGCUGCAUGGCUGUCGUCAGCUCGUGUCGUGAGAUGUUGGGUUAAGUCCCGCAACGAGCGCAACCCUUGUCAUUAGUUGCUACGAAAGGGCACUCUAAUGAGACUGCCGGUGACUAAACCGGAGGAAGGUGGGGAUGACGUCAAGUCCUCAUGGCCCUUAUGGGUAGGGCUUCACACGUCAUACAAUGGUACAUACAGAGGGCUGCCAACCCGCGAGGGGGAGCUAAUCCCAGAAAGUGUAUCGUAGUCCGGAUUGUAGUCUGCAACUCGACUACAUGAAGUUGGAAUCGCUAGUAAUCGCGGAUCAGCAUGUCGCGGUGAAUACGUUCCCGGGUCUUGUACACACCGCCCGUCACACCAUGGGAGCGGGUUUUACCAGAAGUGGGUAGCCUAACCGCAAGGAGGGCGCUUACCACGGUAGGAUUCGUGACUGGGGUGAAGUCGUAACAAGGUAGGCGUAGUGCU